RNAcentral lists this ribosomal RNA (253 nucleotides) under uncultured bacterium. RNAcentral describes it as "partial 16S ribosomal RNA". It matches the Rfam family "Bacterial small subunit ribosomal RNA", at positions 524 to 776 of the family's 1533-position model. The record is from RNAcentral.
UACGUAGGGUGCGAGCGUUAAUCGGUAUUACUGGGCGUAAAGCGUGCGCAGGCGGCGCGUUAAGACAGGUGUGAAAGCCCCGAGCUUAACUUGGGAAUUGCGCUUGUGACUGGCGUGCUGGAGUGUGGCAGAGGGAGGUGGAAUUCCACGUGUAGCAGUGAAAUGCGUAGAGAUGUGGAGGAACACCGAUGGCGAAGGCAGCCCCCUGGGUUAACACUGACGCUCAGGCACGAAAGCGUGGGGAGCAAACAGG